UACGAAGGGGGGCUAGCGUUGCUCGGAUUGACUGGGCGUAAAGGGCGCGUAGGCGGUUCGUACAGUCAGACGUGAAAUUCCUGGGCUCAACCUGGGGGCUGCGUUUGAUACGUGCGGACUUGAGUGCGGAAGAGGGUCGUGGAAUUCCCAGUGUAGAGGUGAAAAUUCGUAGAUAUUGGGAAGAACACCGGUGGCGAAGGCGGCGACCUGGUCCGAUACUGACGCUGAGGCGCGAAAGCGUGGGGAGCAAACAGG
This 255-nucleotide ribosomal RNA is filed under the name uncultured bacterium. RNAcentral's name for it is "partial 16S ribosomal RNA". It matches the Rfam family "Bacterial small subunit ribosomal RNA", at positions 524 to 776 of the family's 1533-position model. The record is from RNAcentral.